RNAcentral lists this long non-coding RNA (315 nucleotides) under Elaeis guineensis (African oil palm). Its description in RNAcentral is "long non-coding RNA (EGUI_LNC007205)". Lineage: Eukaryota; Viridiplantae; Streptophyta; Magnoliopsida; Arecales; Arecaceae. The record is from RNAcentral.
CCCCUGGUUAGCCUUGCGAUUGGUCUUUCACAUGAAAACCAUUUCAGCCUUUCAUGUCUCCACACAAUUGCUUGAUUAUGAAAUAUUACCAAAUUUGCUUUACCCUCUUCGUUUAUCCUUCCAAGCUUUUGCCUUGCAUCCGAAGGCCAAGUGUUCUUGGAACAUUUAUGUCAUGAUGCGGAAUCAAGUGAGGAUUACAACUUCUAAGUGGCAUUUGGCAUGGUGAUUUUCUUUUAUUGAGUUGACAAGUAACAAAAAUCACGCGGUCCAAGCAAUGAAGCAAUUCAAAGAUGAUAUUUAUCACAACUUGACCAA